This 404-nucleotide ribosomal RNA is filed under the name Actinomycetes bacterium. RNAcentral's name for it is "Actinobacteria bacterium partial 16S ribosomal RNA". It matches the Rfam family "Bacterial small subunit ribosomal RNA", at positions 355 to 776 of the family's 1533-position model. Lineage: Bacteria; Bacillati; Actinomycetota; Actinomycetes. The record is from RNAcentral.
UGGGGAAUAUUGGACAAUGGGCGCAAGCCUGAUCCAGCCAUGCCGCGUGAGUGAUGAAGGCCCUAGGGUUGUAAAGCUCUUUCACCGGUGAAGAUAAUGACGGUAACCGGAGAAGAAGCCCCGGCUAACUUCGUGCCAGCAGCCGCGGUAAUACGAAGGGGGCUAGCGUUGUUCGGAUUUACUGGGCGUAAAGCGGACGUAGGCGGACUAUUAAGUCAGGGGUGAAAUCCCGGGGCUCAACCCCGGAACUGCCUUUGAUACUGGUAGUCUUGAGUUCGAGAGAGGUGAGUGGAAUUCCGAGUGUAGAGGUGAAAUUCGUAGAUAUUCGGAGGAACACCAGUGGCGAAGGCGGCUCACUGGCUCGAUACUGACGCUGAGGUGCGAAAGCGUGGGGAGCAAACAGG